RNAcentral lists this ribosomal RNA (692 nucleotides) under Lutibacter sp. RNAcentral's name for it is "bacterial SSU rRNA". It matches the Rfam family "Bacterial small subunit ribosomal RNA", at positions 28 to 711 of the family's 1533-position model. The record is from RNAcentral. Lineage: Bacteria; Pseudomonadati; Bacteroidota; Flavobacteriia; Flavobacteriales; Flavobacteriaceae.
GAUGAACGCUAGCGGCAGGCUUAACACAUGCAAGUCGAGGGGUAACAGGGAGAAGCUUGCUUUUCCGCUGACGACCGGCGCACGGGUGCGUAACGCGUAUAGAACCUACCUUUUACAGAGGAAUAGCCCAGAGAAAUUUGGAUUAAUGCCUCAUAGUAUUAUAGAAUGGCAUCAUUUUAUAAUUAAACAUUUAUGGGUAAAAGAUGGCUAUGCGUUCUAUUAGCUAGUUGGUAAGGUAACGGCUUACCAAGGCUACGAUAGAUAGGGGUCCUGAGAGGGAGAUCCCCCACACUGGUACUGAGACACGGACCAGACUCCUACGGGAGGCAGCAGUGAGGAAUAUUGGACAAUGGAGGCAACUCUGAUCCAGCCAUGCCGCGUGCAGGAAGACGGCCCUAUGGGUUGUAAACUGCUUUUAUAUAGGAAGAAACCUUUCCACGUGUGGAAAGCUGACGGUACUAUAAGAAUAAGCACCGGCUAACUCCGUGCCAGCAGCCGCGGUAAUACGGAGGGUGCAAGCGUUAUCCGGAAUCAUUGGGUUUAAAGGGUCCGUAGGCGGACUAAUAAGUCAGGGGUGAAAUCCAACAGCUUAACUGUUGAACUGCCUUUGAUACUGUUAGUCUUGAAUUAUAUGGAAGUAGAUAGAAUGUGUAGUGUAGCGGUGAAAUGCUUAGAGAUUACACAGAAUACCG